Molecule: ribosomal RNA, 280 nt
Filed under: uncultured bacterium
Lineage: Bacteria
Description: partial 16S ribosomal RNA
Rfam family: Bacterial small subunit ribosomal RNA
Source: RNAcentral
UAGGGAAUCUUCCACAAUGGACGCAAGUCUGAUGGAGCAACGCCGCGUGAGUGAAGAAGGCUUUCGGGUCGUAAAACUCUGUUAUUGAAGAAGAACGUGUGUGACAGUAACUGGUCAUGCAGUGACGGUAUUCAAUCAGAAAGUCACGGCUAACUACGUGCCAGCAGCCGCGGUAAUACGUAGGUGGCAAGCGUUGUCUGGAUUUAUUGGGCGUAAAGCGAGUGCAGGCGGUCUUUUAAGUCUGAUGUGAAAGCCUUCGGCUUAACCGAAGAAGGGCAUC